Molecule: long non-coding RNA, 228 nt
Filed under: Mytilus galloprovincialis (Mediterranean mussel)
Lineage: Eukaryota; Metazoa; Mollusca; Bivalvia; Mytilida; Mytilidae
Source: RNAcentral
CUUUGUAUAGUUUAGAAUGGUCUAGCUGGGCCAUGUUAGUCCUAUUGACGACAGUACUGUAACCUAUAAUUGACCACUAAAACUACAUUUUGUCUUGGACAGUUUGACUAAUUUGCACACAUACCACAUCUUCAAUUGUUUAUAAUAUACACCAGUAAACCGUGGAAAAAUACAACUACUUGCUAUAGUAUUCCUGGAUCAACCCAGUGCUGUACACGUUUGCCGACA